GGCACCUUAGCUCAACUGGUUAGAGCAGGCGCUUCAUACGCGCAAGGUUCGGGGUUCGAGUCCCUGAGGUGCCA
Molecule: transfer RNA, 74 nt
Filed under: Pseudomonadota bacterium
Lineage: Bacteria; Pseudomonadati; Pseudomonadota
Also listed under: 3 other names
Description: tRNA-Met
Rfam family: tRNA
About the family: Transfer RNA (tRNA) molecules are approximately 80 nucleotides in length.
Source: RNAcentral